GGGGUUGUGGCUCAGCGAUAGAGCACUCGUCUAGCACAUGCCAGGCACUGGGUUCAAACCUCAGCACCACA
This 71-nucleotide transfer RNA is filed under the name Marmota monax (woodchuck). Its description in RNAcentral is "tRNA.Ala". Lineage: Eukaryota; Metazoa; Chordata; Mammalia; Rodentia; Sciuridae. The record is from RNAcentral.